AAGGCGGAUAGGAACCAUUAUGUAUGUGUUGCUUAGUGGGCCGAUUCACCGCCAAAAUCAUUACGAAGGAAUUUCCUAAUCUGACCAGCUUCUGCUGGUUGUUUAUUUUUUCCUUCGGACAGCC
Molecule: small nucleolar RNA, 124 nt
Filed under: Ancylostoma duodenale
Lineage: Eukaryota; Metazoa; Nematoda; Chromadorea; Rhabditida; Ancylostomatidae
Description: Nematode snoRNA ceN39
Rfam family: Nematode snoRNA ceN39
Source: Rfam by way of RNAcentral